Molecule: ribosomal RNA, 239 nt
Filed under: uncultured bacterium
Lineage: Bacteria
Description: partial 16S ribosomal RNA
Rfam family: Bacterial small subunit ribosomal RNA
Source: RNAcentral
UACGGAGGGGGUUAGCGUUGUUCGGAAUUACUGGGCGUAAAGCGUACGUAGGCGGAUUAAUAAGUUAGAGGUGAAAUCCCAGGGCUCAACCCUGGAACUGCCUUUAAAACUGUUAGUCUUGAGAUCGAGAGAGGUGAGUGGAAUUCCAAGUGUAGAGGUGAAAUUCGUAGAUAUUUGGAGGAACACCAGUGGCGAAGGCGGCUCACUGGCUCGAUACUGACGCUGAGGUACGAAAGUGU